Molecule: non-coding RNA, 54 nt
Organism: Salmo salar (Atlantic salmon)
Lineage: Eukaryota; Metazoa; Chordata; Actinopteri; Salmoniformes; Salmonidae
Source: Rfam
UCUAAUCACUCCUAUAAGUUGCUCUGGAUAAGAGCGUCUGCUAAAUGACAAAAA